GCACGAGUGGUGAAGUGGCUAUCAUAGGAGCCUUCCAAGCUCUUGUCCCGGGUUCAAUUCCCGGCUCGUGCA
Molecule: transfer RNA, 72 nt
Filed under: Methanobacteriota archaeon
Lineage: Archaea; Methanobacteriati; Methanobacteriota
Description: Euryarchaeota archaeon tRNA-Gly
Rfam family: tRNA
About the family: Transfer RNA (tRNA) molecules are approximately 80 nucleotides in length. Their secondary structure includes four short double-helical elements and three loops (D, anti-codon, and T loops).
Source: RNAcentral